UGAAUUAAUGUGAAUCGCAGACUGCUUUGAACAUCGACAUCUUGAACGCAUAUUGCGGCCAUAGGUUUACCUGUGGCCACGUCUGUCCGAGCGUCGGCUUAUAAACUAUCACUGCGCCUUAAAAGCAGUGGCUUGGGAGA
This 140-nucleotide ribosomal RNA is filed under the name Raillietina cesticillus. RNAcentral's name for it is "partial 5.8S ribosomal RNA". The stretch from base 1 to 96 matches the Rfam family "5.8S ribosomal RNA", at positions 58 to 154 of the family's 154-position model. Rfam says of the family: 5.8S ribosomal RNA (5.8S rRNA) is a component of the large subunit of the eukaryotic ribosome. It is transcribed by RNA polymerase I as part of the 45S precursor that also contains 18S and 28S rRNA. Lineage: Eukaryota; Metazoa; Platyhelminthes; Cestoda; Cyclophyllidea; Davaineidae. The record is from RNAcentral.